Molecule: ribosomal RNA, 252 nt
Filed under: uncultured bacterium
Lineage: Bacteria
Description: partial 16S ribosomal RNA
Rfam family: Bacterial small subunit ribosomal RNA
Source: RNAcentral
UACGUAAGGACCGAGCGUUGUCCGGAAUCAUUGGGCGUAAAGCGAGCGCAGGCGGUUGUAUAAGUCUGAAGUAAAAGGCCGGGGCUCAACCAUUGUGUGCUUUGGAAACUGUACAACUUGAGUGCAGAGGGGGAGAGUGGAAUUCCAUGUGUAGCGGUGAAAUGCGUAGAUAUAUGGAGGAACACCAGUGGCGAAGGCGGCUUUUUGGCCUGUAACUGACACUGAGGCGCGAAAGCGUGGGGAGCAAACAGG